AAUAUACUCCUUCCGUCCUAAAAUAAGUGACUCAGAAAUGACUUUGUUUUGUACUAAGUUUAGUACAAAGUAGAGUCACUUUUGAGUCACUUAUUUUGGGAUGGAGGGAGUACAAG
This 116-nucleotide microRNA precursor is filed under the name Hordeum vulgare. Its description in RNAcentral is "microRNA MIR1122". It matches the Rfam family "MIR1120/MIR1122 microRNA precursor family". Lineage: Eukaryota; Viridiplantae; Streptophyta; Magnoliopsida; Poales; Poaceae. The record is from RNAcentral.